UACGAAGGGGGCUAGCGUUGUUCGGAAUCACUGGGCGUAAAGCGCACGUAGGCGGAUUUUUAAGUCAGGGGUGAAAUCCGGGGGCUCAACCUCGGAACUGCCUUUGAUACUGGAGAUCUUGAGUUCGGGAGAGGUGAGUGGAACUGCGAGUGUAGAGGUGAAAUUCGUAGAUAUUCGCAAGAACACCAGUGGCGAAGGCGGCUCACUGGCCCGAUACUGACGCUGAGGCACGAAAGCGUGGGGAGCAAACAGG
RNAcentral lists this ribosomal RNA (253 nucleotides) under uncultured bacterium. Its description in RNAcentral is "partial 16S ribosomal RNA". It matches the Rfam family "Bacterial small subunit ribosomal RNA", at positions 524 to 776 of the family's 1533-position model. The record is from RNAcentral.